Molecule: ribosomal RNA, 460 nt
Filed under: uncultured bacterium
Lineage: Bacteria
Description: partial 16S ribosomal RNA
Rfam family: Bacterial small subunit ribosomal RNA
Source: RNAcentral
CCUACGGGAGGCAGCAGUGAGGAAUAUUGGUCAAUGGACGAGAGUCUGAACCAGCCAAGUAGCGUGAAGGAUGACUGCCCUAUGGGUUGUAAACUUCUUUUAUAUGGGAAUAAACUGUUCCACGUGUGGGCUUUUGUAUGUACCCUAUGAAUAAGGAUCGGCUAACUCCGUGCCAGCAGCCGCGGUAAUACGGAGGAUCCGAGCGUUAUCCGGAUUUAGUGGGUUUAAAGGGAGCGUAGGUGGAUUGUUAAGUCAGUUGUGAAAGUUUGCGGCUCAACCGUAAAAUUGCAGUUGAAACUGGCAGUCUGGAGUACAGUAGAGGUGAGCGGAAUUCGUGGUGUAGCGGUGAAAUGCUUAGAUAUCAGGAAGAACUCCGGUUGCGAAGGCAGUUCACUGGACUGCAACUGACAUUGAGGCUCGAAAGUGUGGGUAUCAAACAGGAUUAGAUACCCCAGUAGUC